CGAGCUUGUCGAUGGCGGCCAGCAGCGGCGGCAUCUCCGGAAUGCCGUGCGGCGGUUCGAUCAUCGCGCCGAGCUUGAC
RNAcentral lists this transfer RNA (79 nucleotides) under Mycolicibacterium agri. RNAcentral describes it as "tRNA-Arg". Lineage: Bacteria; Bacillati; Actinomycetota; Actinomycetes; Mycobacteriales; Mycobacteriaceae. The record is from RNAcentral.